Molecule: long non-coding RNA, 1155 nt
Organism: Homo sapiens (human)
Lineage: Eukaryota; Metazoa; Chordata; Mammalia; Primates; Hominidae
Gene: CCDC26
Product: CCDC26 long non-coding RNA
Source: Ensembl
GCUACAGUGCUACUGGCCCAUAAUCAGGCAACUGCAGAGUCUUAGGGGGUUAUCUAAUGUAGUCUUGGGGUGGCUGGAUAGACUUCCCAAAGAAGGUGAUGCCGAAGCUGAGGUCGGAAAUUACGAAGAUCAGCUAUCAAACUUGGAAAUCAUGUCUUAGAGAUCAAGGAGCCAAGAGAUGAGACAAGCCUGGGUUCCUAGGUGAUAGGGUGUGGCUGUGUCCCCACCCAAAUCUCGUCUUGAAUUGUAGCUCCCAUAAUCCCCACAUGUUGUGGAGGGACCCUGUGGAAGAUCUUUAAUAAAUGAAAUAAAUGUGACUGUAUGUCCUACAUCCCAUUCCUGUUGUCUUCCAUGUCUCCUCAGAGGAAUGAAGCAACGAUAUCUCCUAAAACACCAGGAUUUGCUAAAGAUAAUGAUAGAUUAAUUGUGAACAGCCUGAAGUAUCAAGUAGCCUACUCACUGUGAAGACAAUGAGGGUGAAAACCUUCAUGAUGAUCCACUUCCACUUCAUGAACAGGAAAUAUGUUUUUUCUCUUCCUUAUGAUUUUUUAAAAACAUUUUCUUUUCUCUUGCAUGCUUGAUUGUAAGAGUGCAGUACAUAUUAUAUAUAUAUAAUAUACAAAAUAUGUGUUAAUCAGCUAUGUGUUAGCCAACUAUGUUAUUAAUGUAAGACUUUUUAUGAUUUUCUAUAUAACAUUUUCUUUUUUCUAGCUUACUUUAUUAUAGGAAUACAGUAUACAGUACGUACAACAUGCAAAAUCAGUGUUAAUCAACAGUUUAUGUUAUUGGCAAGGCUUCAGGUCAAUAGUAGGCUAUUUGUAGUUAAGUUUUCUAGUUAAAGUUGUAUGUGGAUUUUCACCCGCUUGGGGGUUCGGCACCCCUAAGCUCUGUUUUGCUCAAGGUCAACUGUAUAAUUUUUCAGCCUUGGCCCAUUGGCAAAUGGACAGAAACAUUUGUAAACUUUGCAACUACAAAGAAAAGUACAGUUUGGGGGCAAUAAAAAGUUAAAAUUUCUUUUGGAUAUUGAUAGAAACUUCAAAGAAAGAUGAUGCAAGACUAUGAAUACAAAUAAGUUUUAAAAAUCAUGUCAAAGAUGAUUCCUUUUAUUGUUCUUAGAACACUGUAAUGUAUAGAAUAAACUCAGUUUUAAAUGUA